UUUUCAUGUGUCUUCAAACUGGCUGCAAUGACCUAUUUGUCUCUCUAAUUCUGAGAGAUAUUGUUUUAUAAUAAAUAUUUUUUUCUUUUAUGACUAAAAGAAACUAUUCUAAUUAGAUGAUUGGAAUCAGAUUGAAAGAAAUACAGGAAGUUAAAAAUAACAGAAUGGAAGCUUGUUCCAUUAUGUUGAGCAAUUCCUAAGACAAAAGUUCUUUACAUUACUCCCUUAGGCCUUACUCUGUAUUUCCCUUGGUAGCAUCAUCGAAAGCUUAGACCUUUCUUGAGAAAACACAUACUGACAGGUAAGCAGUAUCUACAUAAAGGUGACUUUCCCCCUAUUUAAUGAAAAUAACAAAUAAUUUAGAUAUUAAUGUAUUUCUCAAUGUCGCUUUCAUGUAUAACACUAGAUAUCCUCUAUUCAUUCAUUAAUUCUCCAGGCAACAUUACCAAGUGCUUGUUUUUAUCAUAUUCUCUGUGACCCUGAAGAUUCAAAAUUAUACCGUGACAAGAAGAAAUAUUCCUAAAUCAUCCUACAGGCUAAUUCUGGAUUUCCUGGACAAUGAACAAGUGGGACUUGAAGAUUCCCCUCUACUAUCUUCAUCAGUAUCUAACCUGGCUUCCCACAGGGCCACAAGCUACCCAGAUUGUUCCCUGCUGCUGAAGAAGCUUAUUCUGACUCUACACAAGUCAAGAGAAUGAUGCAGAGACAGGCUAUAAAAUUUUAUAAACUGCAGCAAAUCUGAAGACAUACUGUGGAACAUGGAAAUUCCGGAACAGAGCUAUAGAUCAAGUUGCUAAAAUAUUUAUUUACAGAGUAUCUUCAAGCAAAUGAUUACUUUUUAUCAAAUCAAG
This is a long non-coding RNA of Canis lupus familiaris (dog), 851 nucleotides long. RefSeq lists it as uncharacterized. NCBI's taxonomy places the organism in Eukaryota, Metazoa, Chordata, Mammalia, Carnivora, Canidae. The transcript has 3 exons. The record is from RefSeq and is a predicted model, not a curated record.